UCCGUAGGCGGCUUUAUAAGUCAGUGGUGAAAGCCCAUCGCUCAACGAUGGAACGGCCAUUGAUACUGUAGAGCUUGAAUUAUUAGGAAGUAACUAGAAUAUGUAGUGUAGCGGUGAAAUGCUUAGAGAUUACAUGGAAUACCAAUUGCGAAGGCAGGUUACUACUAAUGGAUUGACGCUGAUGGACGAAAGCGUGGGGAGCGAACAGGAUUAGAUACCCCUGUA
This 225-nucleotide ribosomal RNA is filed under the name uncultured Flavobacterium sp. Its description in RNAcentral is "partial 16S ribosomal RNA". It matches the Rfam family "Bacterial small subunit ribosomal RNA", at positions 568 to 792 of the family's 1533-position model. Lineage: Bacteria; Pseudomonadati; Bacteroidota; Flavobacteriia; Flavobacteriales; Flavobacteriaceae. The record is from RNAcentral.